Vicia villosa (hairy vetch) is the source of this 1074-nucleotide long non-coding RNA. RefSeq lists it as uncharacterized. The transcript has 6 exons. NCBI's taxonomy places the organism in Eukaryota, Viridiplantae, Streptophyta, Magnoliopsida, Fabales, Fabaceae. The record is from RefSeq and is a predicted model, not a curated record.
AAAAGCGAAAGCAAAAGCAAAAUUAAAUGUUGUCUCCUCUCUCACGCUUAUCACCUUCCACCAAACAGAACACUAAACCAGACUUUCUCCACCUAUACAAACCUUCUCUCUCCAUUACUCCUUACAAAAUUAUUGGUAUUUAACCACCACAACAAACUGUUUAUUUAAAAUGUGAAAUAUGUUUAUUAUGACACAGAGUAAUCAUAUUGUUGCUCUGAAAGAAAUCUUUAAGACCCAAUUGCAACAAUCUCAAGUUGAGCAUCAGCUUCGUCCGAGACAUCCCCAUAUCUUGCGACUUUAUGGAUACUUUUAUGAUCAGGGCUAUCAAUUUUGAGGAUGCAUUGUCAAUUGGAUCAUUUCAUGUUAUGAAAAAAGGAAUACGUAUUUGCGGCGGGGAACUUAGGCCCAAAACGUUCAUCCAUAAUAAAUUUUUCACCUUGGGCAAUUAGGAGAUAUCCAAAUUUUCGAGGGUACUUCUUUGAAUACAUUUUGACUUCAGGGAGAAUUUUGGCCUGUUAUCUAUGAUGGUGAUGCACCAAAUAAGGAAGCAGGCUUCGAUAAAGAUUCAUCCAGAAAUUGCUCAACCAACUCAUUGGAUAUCAAGUUGGUGAAGGGUAAAAUUGUUUUAUGUGAAUUGUGAAGAUAAAAUAGGACUUUCUGAGGCUUACAGAGUUGGUUGCUGUUGGUGUCUUGGUACAAGGUCGAAUAUCUAAUGAUAACCCAUACUCUUUUCCCUUGUCUGGAUGCUACCUUAAAUCGAAAGACGUUGCCAAAGUACAUAAAUAUAUCAAGUCUACAAGGAAUCCGGUAGCAACUAUAUUUAAGACAUAUGAGUUAAAUGAUACGUUGGCACUUAUGACCGCCUCUUUCUCGUCAUGGGGUCCUAACGAUGCUACACCAGAGAUUCUAAAGCCUGAUUUAAUUGUUCCCGGAGUAGACAUUCUAACUAGUUGGUUUCCAAUUGCUCCAAUUUCUGAAAUUCACGGUGACAAAAGAAAAUUGGAGUUCAAUAUUGUGUAUGGAACAUCAAUGUGGUGUCCUCAUGUUUUUGGUGCAGCAGCAUAUAUAAAAUCC